Molecule: ribosomal RNA, 292 nt
Filed under: uncultured bacterium
Lineage: Bacteria
Description: partial 16S ribosomal RNA
Source: RNAcentral
GGACUACCGGGGUAUCUAAUCCUGUUUGCUCCCCUUGCUCUCGCGCCUCAGCGUCAGGUAUAAACUAGAAAACCGCUUUCGCCACAGGUGUUCUUCCACAUAUCUACGCAUUUCACCGCUACACGUGGAAUUCCGUUUUCUCCGUCAAUCCUCGAGAAUUGGAGUUUCAAAUGCAGCUCCGAAGUUGAGCUUCGGAAUUUCACAUCUGACUUUCAUUCCCGCCUACGCGCCCUUUACGCCCAAUAAUUCCGAUUAAUGCUUGCACUCUCCGUAUUACCGCGGCGGCUGGCAC